UACGAAGGGGGCUAGCGUUGCUCGGAAUUACUGGGCGUAAAGCGCCCGUAGGCGGCCUGACAAGUUGGACGUGAAAGCUCCUGGCUUAACUGGGAGAGGCCGUUCAAAACUGUCAAGCUAGAGUCUGGAAGAGGAGAGCGGAAUUCCCGGUGUAGUGGUGGAAUGCGUAGAGAUCGGGAGGAACACCAGUGGCGAAAGCGGCUCUCUGGUCCAAAACUGACGCUGAGGGGCGAAAGCGUGGGGAGCGAACGGG
Molecule: ribosomal RNA, 253 nt
Filed under: uncultured bacterium
Lineage: Bacteria
Description: partial 16S ribosomal RNA
Rfam family: Bacterial small subunit ribosomal RNA
Source: RNAcentral